GUAGAUGCUGAAUGCUCUCCUUACAGCCCUGGAAGUGAUUCAAUAAGAACACAUUGGACAGAACUUUGAAGCUCAGCAAGGGCUGGGCUGUCCCCUCACCAAGCACACAGCUGUACAACAUCCUACACAUGGCAAGAACAAAGAUCUGACUCGGAUUUGAAUGACUUCUUGGUCCAGACAGGCAUCAGCCUGAGCCAGCUCCCUCGCCUUGGUGGGUUUUAGGAAGGUGACUGGGAUUCUGGGGUCUAAGCCAAGCCUUUGUCCCUCCUAAUUUGCCCAUUCUAAGUGAGAGGUAGCAGUGCCAGCCCUUAGAAAGGUGCCAGUUGUGUUCUUAAAUGCAUCCAUAUUUUAAGGCUGAAGGUGUGGGACAGGCCAAUCAUUAGUUCUCAGUUUAAUUUUUUUUCCAGAGGUGUUGUGACCUCCUGCCCACGGAGGUUUUCAGGCUGUGCAGCUGCACAGGGCCAGGAUGUCAACACUGGCAUGCACAGCUGCCAGCAUUGCUCAGAGGUCAAGCUCCCAGAAUUAUGAGACAGUCCAAGAAGAGAAGGAAGAAACCUAAAGCUUGGAAAAAAGGCAGGGGGAAAAAAAAAAAGUCUGAAGCUUAAAUGUUUGUGGCAGCUCCUAAACUAUGGCAAGAGGAGCUCCCGUCUCUGCAAUCCAGUUCAAAGCCAGGGUUCAACCAAGAGCCAGGCUUCAUUCCCAACUCCACCCUCAGCUUCAGCAAGGCCAGAACAAUCCUCCCAACACUUGACAAAGCAGAUCUAUCCCAGGGAAGAGAUUUCCAGCAUGCUGGGAAAAAAAUCUGGCAAUGCCUCUGGACAGCUUCAGCCAUCAAAACUCUGGGGCCUCUCAUUUAUUGGUAUCAAGGAGAUGCAGGAGGAUGGAAAAGGCUGUGGAGGGAUCCAAUGGCCAUGGACCAGUCUGAAGUUUGGCUCCAUCAUUCAGGGCACAGGAUUUAGUCAUUAUGUGGAAUCAGAGGCAAAACUGAAUCACGGGCCAGUUUUCUCCUCCAGUUUGUGAGGGAAGUCAAGGGAACAUGCUUCUCCAGACCCAUCUCCUGUUGGCUUUUCUCUCCACUGCUGGCACAAUCCCAGCAAUUAAACUGAGCCUCCUGAUGAGAGUUAUUAUUUUUAAUCCGGCUCGUUGCGGGGCACAGGCGGUUCCACUAAUCCGUUUUUGGCACGUCUGCCCUUCCCAGCACUGCUCUCCUUGUGACAGGAGCAGGGGAGCUCUGGGAGCACCUGGCUCCCCCAUGGAUGAGGGGCUGACACCCUGCUUGAGGGAGUGAUCCUAAAUCCACAAUCAGCUCAGAGUCAAGUGGGACCAGGGAGAGAUGGGGAAGUGAAUGGAUUGACAAAAUCAAUUGUGGAAAUCAAUUCCUGGCAGAAAAAUCUCCAUUUCCAUGCAUCUGCAGGGCUGGAAACUGCAAGAGAAUUAGUGGGAUCUACAUUGUUGCUCAUCUCCAAGCUCCCCAAACUCUUCCAUGUUUUUGGAGUGUUUUUUUUUCCUGUUUGUUUGGGGAGGAAAUGUCAAAGCAUUAAAACCUUCCAUCCCUUCUAUUUCACUGCCAAGACACGACCAAACCCACGGGCUUAUUUUAGGUUAGGCCGGUUCAUGGGGGUUUGGAGCAUUCCAGAAAGGUGCAAUCAUAGGAUCAUGGAAUGGUUUGGGUUGGAAAGGACCUUAAAGAUGAUCCAGUUCCAACCCCCUGCCAUGGACAGCGAUGCCACCCACGAGAUCAGCUUGCUCAGGGCCCCAAACAGCCUGGCCAAUGCCUGGUGCUAAUCUCAUUUCCCCUAAAUGCUGAAUCAAACAAUAGGAAGUAGCAAUAGAAGAAGGACAUCUGUGGCCCACCAACCUCUUCAACCUCCCCUGUCAGCUCUGAGAGAGGGGAGAGCCCUUUAUUUGUCAUUUUUCCCAGAGAAACUCAACCAACCGAGGGAGUGCUGGUUCCUGGAGGCAGGAACAGGCAGGAGGACGAAGGUACCACACAAAGACUUCCCCAGAUACCACCUCAGCACCGUGCAUCUCCACCCUCAGAGCCUCUUAGAGCAGCCUUUGGUGGAGGAUUGGGUCAGCAGCUGAAGGCUGCUCCUGGUUUUCACAGCCCGGGAUCCUGCUGGCUCCUGGGGGUCUCUGUUCCAGCAGCCCUGGGGCUGUGAGACACCGAGGCUGCUCUGCUGUGCAGUGACUCAGCUCCCCACCAGAAAAGGCCAGAGCUUUGCUCAUGGGUCAUGAUGAAGUCAUUAGUCCUGAAUUUCCAUCAGGCUGGACUGCAGUUCAACCAGCUCCCACGGCCUCAGAGUUUAUCUGAGCAAUUCCUCCCGGCUGGUUCUGCGGGAGCCGUGGGGAGAUGUCCCAUCACUGAUCCCCCUGCAGCCCUCCAGCUGCCCCAGCUUCUUGUCCAGCUCUGAAGGACAAACCUUCACCGUGCUUUCUUGUCUGCUCCCACACCUGACUGGCCAGACAAGGCAGAAAUCUGUUUAUUAAUUUAGCAUCCAGGUCAGGCAUGAAAGCAAAGGAUGUGAUGAGCUCACUGGCCUAAUGUCCUUAGCUGCUUGGGUUGAUUUAAGGUAUGUGUUUUGGUAAGGUCCAGAGACCAAUUUUUUCCUGUCUAAUAAAGCAGAUAAAUGAAAAGGAAACA
Long non-coding RNA from Cyanistes caeruleus (blue tit), 2644 nucleotides. Lineage: Eukaryota; Metazoa; Chordata; Aves; Passeriformes; Paridae. The record is from Ensembl.